Molecule: ribosomal RNA, 468 nt
Filed under: uncultured bacterium
Lineage: Bacteria
Description: partial 16S ribosomal RNA
Rfam family: Bacterial small subunit ribosomal RNA
Source: RNAcentral
GACGAACGCUGGCGGCGUGCUUAACACAUGCAAGUCGAACGGAAAGGCCCUGCUUUUGUGGGGUGCUCGAGUGGCGAACGGGUGAGUAACACGUGAGUAACCUGCCCUUGACUUUGGGGUAACUUCAGGAAACUGGGGCUAAUACCGGAUAGGAGCUCCUGCUGCAUGGUGGGGGUUGGAAAGUUUCGGCGGUUGGGGAUGGACUCGCGGCUUAUCAGCUUGUUGGUGGGGUAGUGGCUUACCAAGGCUUUGACGGGAAGCCGGCCUGAGAGGGUGACCGGCCACAUUGGGACUGAGAUACGGCCCAGACUCCUACGGGAGGCAGCAGUGGGGAAUAUUGCACAAUGGGCGGAAGCCUGAUGCAGCAACGCCGCGUGCGGGAUGACGGCCUUCGGGUUGUAAACCGCUUUCGCCUGUGACGAAGCGUGAGUGACGGUAAUGGGUAAAGAAGCACCGGCUAACUACGUG